Molecule: ribosomal RNA, 678 nt
Filed under: Penicillium commune
Lineage: Eukaryota; Fungi; Ascomycota; Eurotiomycetes; Eurotiales; Aspergillaceae
Description: SSU rRNA
Rfam family: Eukaryotic small subunit ribosomal RNA
Source: RNAcentral
GGUGAUCAUAAUAACUUAACGAAUCGCAUGGCCUUGCGCCGGCGAUGGUUCAUUCAAAUUUCUGCCCUAUCAACUUUCGAUGGUAGGAUAGUGGCCUACCAUGGUGGCAACGGGUAACGGGGAAUUAGGGUUCGAUUCCGGAGAGGGAGCCUGAGAAACGGCUACCACAUCCAAGGAAGGCAGCAGGCGCGCAAAUUACCCAAUCCCGAUACGGGGAGGUAGUGACAAUAAAUACUGAUACGGGGCUCUUUUGGGUCUCGUAAUUGGAAUGAGAACAAUUUAAAUCCCUUAACGAGGAACAAUUGGAGGGCAAGUCUGGUGCCAGCAGCCGCGGUAAUUCCAGCUCCAAUAGCGUAUAUUAAAGUUGUUGCAGUUAAAAAGCUCGUAGUUGAACCUUGGGUCUGGCUGGCCGGUCCGCCUCACCGCGAGUACUGGUCCGGCUGGACCUUUCCUUCUGGGGAACCUCAUGGCCUUCACUGGCUGUGGGGGGAACCAGGACUUUUACUGUGAAAAAAUUAGAGUGUUCAAAGCAGGCCUUUGCUCGAAUACAUUAGCAUGGAAUAAUAGAAUAGGACGUGUGGUUCUAUUUUGUUGGUUUCUAGGACCGCCGUAAUGAUUAAUAGGGAUAGUCGGGGGCGUCAGUAUUCAGCUGUCAGAGGUGAAAUUCUUGGAUUUACU